AACGAACGCUGGCGGCAUGCCUAACACAUGCAAGUCGAACGAGACCUUCGGGUCUAGUGGCGCACGGGUGCGUAACGCGUGGGAACCUGCCCUUAGGUUCGGAAUAACUCCCCGAAAGGGGUGCUAAUACCGGAUAAUGUCUUCGGACCAAAGAUUUAUCGCCUUUGGAUGGGCCCGCGUUGGAUUAGCUAGUUGGUAGGGUAAAAGCCUACCAAGGCGACGAUCCAUAGCUGGUCUGAGAGGAUGAUCAGCGACACUGGGACUGAGACACGGCCCAGACUCCUACGGGAGGCAGCAGUGGGGAAUAUUGGACAAUGGGCGAAAGCCUGAUCCAGCAAUGCCGCGUGAGUGAUGAAGGCCUUAGGGUUGUAAAGCUCUUUUACCCGGGAUGAUAAUGACAUUACCGGGAGAAUAAGCUCCGGCUAACUCCGUG
This 433-nucleotide ribosomal RNA is filed under the name uncultured bacterium. Its description in RNAcentral is "partial 16S ribosomal RNA". It matches the Rfam family "Bacterial small subunit ribosomal RNA", at positions 29 to 507 of the family's 1533-position model. The record is from RNAcentral.